Molecule: ribosomal RNA, 450 nt
Filed under: uncultured Alcaligenaceae bacterium
Lineage: Bacteria; Pseudomonadati; Pseudomonadota; Betaproteobacteria; Burkholderiales; Alcaligenaceae
Description: bacterial SSU rRNA
Rfam family: Bacterial small subunit ribosomal RNA
Source: RNAcentral
ACAAGCGGUGGAUGAUGUGAUUAUUCGAUGCAACGCGAAGAACCUUACCUACCCUUGACAUGUCCGGAACUUGCCAGAGAUGGCUUGGUGCCCGAAAGGGAAUCGGAACACAGGUGCUGCAUGGCUGUCGUCAGCUCGUGUCGUGAGAUGUUGGGUUAAGUCCCGCAACGAGCGCAACCCUUGUCAUUAGUUGCUACGAAAGGGCACUCUAAAUGAAACUGCCGUGACAAACCGGAGGAAGUGGGGAUGACGUCAAGUCCUCAUGGCCCUUAUGGGUAGGGCUUCACACGUCAUACAAUGGUCGGUACAGAGGGCUGCCAACCCGUAAGGGGGAGCCAAUCCUUUAAAACCGAUCGUAGUCCGGAUUGAGGUCUGCAACUCGACCUCAUGAAGUCGGAAUCGCUAGUAAUCGCGGAUCAGCAUGUCGCGGUGAAUACGUUCCCGGGUCUU